UAAGACGGAGGGGGCUAGCGUUGUUCGGAAUGACUGGGCGUAAAGGGCGCGUAGGCGGUUUUUUAAGUGAGGCGUGAAAGCCCUGGGCUUAACCCAGGAAUUGCGUUUCAGACUGGAAGACUGGAGUACGAGAGAGGUAAGUGGAAUUCCUAGUGUAGAGGUGAAAUUCGUAGAUAUUAGGAAGAACACCAGUGGCGAAGGCGGCUUACUGGCUCGUAACUGACGCUGAGGCGCGAAAGCGUGGGGAGCAAACAGG
This 256-nucleotide ribosomal RNA is filed under the name uncultured bacterium. RNAcentral's name for it is "partial 16S ribosomal RNA". It matches the Rfam family "Bacterial small subunit ribosomal RNA", at positions 521 to 776 of the family's 1533-position model. The record is from RNAcentral.